RNAcentral lists this ribosomal RNA (604 nucleotides) under uncultured Sphingomonas sp. Its description in RNAcentral is "bacterial SSU rRNA". It matches the Rfam family "Bacterial small subunit ribosomal RNA", at positions 28 to 677 of the family's 1533-position model. Lineage: Bacteria; Pseudomonadati; Pseudomonadota; Alphaproteobacteria; Sphingomonadales; Sphingomonadaceae. The record is from RNAcentral.
AAUGAACGCUGGCGGCAUGCCUAACACAUGCAAGUCGAACGAAGGCUUCGGCCUUAGUGGCGCACGGGUGCGUAACGCGUGGGAAUCUGCCCUCAGGCUCGGAAUAACAGCGAGAAAUUGCUGCUAAUACCGGAUGAUAUCGCGAGAUCAAAGAUUUAUCGCCUGAGGAUGAGCCCGCGUAGGAUUAGCUAGUUGGUGUGGUAAAGGCGCACCAAGGCGACGAUCCUUAGCUGGUCUGAGAGGAUGAUCAGCCACACUGGGACUGAGACACGGCCCAGACUCCUACGGGAGGCAGCAGUGGGGAAUAUUGGACAAUGGGCGAAAGCCUGAUCCAGCAAUGCCGCGUGAGUGAUGAAGGCCUUAGGGUUGUAAAGCUCUUUUACCCGGGAUGAUAAUGACAGUACCGGGAGAAUAAGCUCCGGCUAACUCCGUGCCAGCAGCCGCGGUAAUACGGAGGGAGCUAGCGUUAUUCGGAAUUACUGGGCGUAAAGCGCACGUUUGCGGCUUUGUAAGUGAGAGGUGAAAGCCUGCAGCUCAACUCCUGAUUUGCCUUUAAUAUUGCAUCGCUUGAAUCCAGGGAGAGGUGAGUGGAAUUUCGGUGGAA